RNAcentral lists this ribosomal RNA (440 nucleotides) under uncultured bacterium. Its description in RNAcentral is "partial 16S ribosomal RNA". It matches the Rfam family "Bacterial small subunit ribosomal RNA", at positions 338 to 795 of the family's 1533-position model. The record is from RNAcentral.
CCUACGGGAGGCAGCAGUGGGGAAUAUUGCACAAUGGGGGAAACCCUGAUGCAGCGACGCCGCGUGAGUGAAGAAGUAAUUCGUUAUGUAAAGCUCUAUCAGCAGGGAAGAAAAUGACGGUACCUGAGUAAGAAGCCCCGGCUAACUACGUGCCAGCAGCCGCGGUAAUACGUAGGGGGCAAGCGUUAUCCGGAUUUACUGGGUGUAAAGGGAGCGUAGACGGCAGUGCAAGUCUGGAGUGAAAGGCGGGGGCUCAACCCCCGGACUGCUCUGGAAACUGUACGGCUGGAGUGCAGGAGAGGUAAGUGGAAUGCCUAGUGUAGCGGUGAAAUGCGGAGAUAUUAGGAGGAACACCAGUGGCGAAGGCGGCUUACUGGACUGUAACUGACGUUGAGGCUCGAAAGCGUGGGGAGCAAACAGGAUUAGAUACCCGGGUAGUC